Cebus imitator (Panamanian white-faced capuchin) is the source of this 1421-nucleotide long non-coding RNA. RefSeq lists it as uncharacterized. The record is from RefSeq and is a predicted model, not a curated record. Lineage: Eukaryota; Metazoa; Chordata; Mammalia; Primates; Cebidae. The transcript has 4 exons.
CCUGUCCCACACUCACCCUGGAGACAGCCGUGUUCCUGCCUGCGGCCAGGUCUGCCCACCCCCCUCCACUCCACACUCACCUAGGGGAGGAAGGGGCCAGGGAGGCCUGCCAUUUCCGUCAAGACAAACUCCCACCCAGGGUCACAGCAGCAGGUAGCUAGUUUAAAUUGUGGUAUUUACAACCAAAUGAAAGAGGGAAGGAGUCAAGUGGAGAUCACUGGAAAGUAAACACUGCAAAACCUCCAAAACCAGAAGCCUGGAGGCACAUUUUCUUUGGGAAUAGGCCAACUAUUUGUUCCUUUGAAACUCCCUAUUGGUCAGCAUCUAGCAUUCUGUCUGAGAUGUUCAUGAACAUACACUACCAAUUUGGAUGCCGGGGAAGAGCUGGAGUUUGCCCAAGAGCCGUGCCAAAGAACCAGAAACCCUACUCCCAAUCUGAACACAGCUGUGACUUGCACUCACAGAGACACAGGCCUUCAAAGGAAACAAACUAAGCUACCCCUGUGGACAGAAGGCCUCUAGACCAGCCCUCCAGGUGCAAGACAGACCCAGAAGCAUUUGAAGAUUAGAGAAGUACACGGUGAAUCUCCAUGCCAAGGAAGCUUUCUAUUCUCCUAAGCUGAAAGAUCUGCAGGCACUGAGCUCAUUAACAGAAGCACCUGGAGAGUCAGAAACCCUCGCCUGAAAGCUGGGAACGGCUGACGCGCGCCCCCUGCCGGCUGUUCUGAAAACAAUCAAAUAACGUGGGGCUGGCGGCCUGGAUAGGGACGCUUCACAAAGAAACGAGAAAACGGCGGCCAUGCUGAGACUGUGCUGGGCUUGGAAUACGCAGUUCUGGAGACCAGAGAGAAAAGACAGGAGCAAUUCAAAACGGCCGGUUCCCUAAAGGAAUGUUUGAGAGAGUGGUUCUGAAAUACAAAUGGUCUUUCAGCUUGAAAAUGUGCAAUGGCUGGUAGAUUCGCAGAGCCUGAAUUCAGAACACAAAGAAAAGGCGAGAAAUGAGAUGUCAUCCUUGACUAAAAAUAGAAACAAUCACAAAAGCCAUACAUAGACAGACAUAUAGAAGAUGUUGACGAAAACAAUAUUUGAGUGCUUAUUAGGGGCCAAGCACCAUUCUAAGAGCUUUACCUUUAUUAUCUCAUCUGAUCGUCAUAAUGAUCCUAUGAAAUAAUAUUAAUUUAUCAGAUGUGGAAAGUAGGGCAUACAGAUGUAAAGCAACUUGUGCAAGGCCAAACAGCUAGAAAAUAGCAGAGCUGGGAUAGAUACAGCAAACAAAAGGCAGGUGGAAAAUGGAUUACAGGUUGCUCUUAUCCGAGGUGUUUGCCGCCAGUGCAGUGGCGUGUGACUGUAACCCCAACUCCUUGAGAGGCUGAGCUCAGGAGUUUGAAUCCAGCCUGGGCAACACAGCUAGACCCCCCGAC